Molecule: long non-coding RNA, 2725 nt
Organism: Astatotilapia calliptera (eastern happy)
Lineage: Eukaryota; Metazoa; Chordata; Actinopteri; Cichliformes; Cichlidae
Source: Ensembl
UAAGUAUUACUUAAUUUAUGGCACAUUUUAUAACAUUGAUUUUUUUUUUCUUUUUUUUUUUAACUUGUGAUUUAAUCUUCCAUUGUUAUUAGUUUGUAGUUAAGUUAUGCGUUUGGAGGUAGAAAGGAAAUUUAUCUGCAUGACAGUGCCAUCAUUUUUAUGAAGAAAAAAAUCAGUUUUAGCUAAAUAAAGAUGAAAUGAAGAAACACGUUUGUGGAGAUAAAUGGAAGGAAAAAAUUUAAUGGAAAUAAAUAAAUACUAUAUAAUUGAUAUUAUGGGAAACAAUAUGGUGACAAAUAUGUCGCUCUUUUUUUCAUUAAUUGAGUUGUACAACUUUUUACUUUUUUAAUCUUUAUAAUUUGAUCUUUAUUCAUUGCCUUGUUGUACAUGAAUUUUGACAGCUUCAGUCCUCCGUACUAACAGUGUCUUAACUGCUGUUCUGGGGACAUUUUGCUAUUUCAAAUUUGGUGGGUUUUGUGUUUUUUAAAAAUGUGAUGAAGCUCUUGGAAUACAUUCAACAUAAAGUUAAAACAUUUGGAUUGAAAUAAAGCAGGAAAUCAAAUUCUCAUUUUAUUUUGUUCUAUUUUGAAAUGCUGUCACUUGAAACCAGUGUGCCAAACUGAUGCAUUCUCUUUGUAGAGCAUCUGUCAUAUAUAUGAAUGUGCAGCAUGGCUUCAGUUCAGGUAAAAGGACCUUUGCAUAGAAGGGCACGUUAUUCCUCCAAAUCUCUCUGUGGAAGCCUCCAGAAAAAAAACCUCAAUUUGUAUAAAUUGCAUAAAAUAGGCGCAGGAAUUGCUGCCACAAUGUCUCCUAUUAUAGCCAAAAUCGGCAGUUAAAGUGGACCUUUUCUUAUUUCCAACUUCAUAUUUUUUAUUCUUGGACUCCUCUGUAGCAGCUUUGCAUGAUUUACAGUUCAAAGUAGUUCUUCUUUAUCUUACACUGGGCCAGUUUUAACUCCUCUCCCUUUAAGGCCCUCAUUAGCAACAGAUUUGAAAAAGCAGGUAGGUGGUUCUUCUAUGUCCCCAAAUUUGGAUGUACCCUCUUUAUGAUGUCAUACAGUUGCAAACUUAAAAAACAAAACUGUCUGAAACUGAGUGUUCUGAGCAGUCUUAAGAUUUUCAGAGAACGGGGAUUAUCUCUUUAUUUGAAAGUUUCAUCAUGCUUGGUAUGAAAUACAGGAAAGCAGAAUAGAGUUUAUAACAUCCUAAAUGUCAACCUGUUCAAAGUGAUUAUUAUUAUUUUUUAUUUUUAUUUUUUUAGGCAUGCAAAUUUGUGUGAACAGCUAAAAAUAUAAGCUUUUGUUUGUUUGUUUUCUCAUCCAGCUACUGACACAUUUCUGUCAUAUUUAACAGGAUUACUUUCUUCCAGGGUUCCAGUCAGCAGCUUGACCUCUCCUCUUCCUCUUAUCUGCGUUUUCCUAAUUUCAUUACACUCGGUAAUCUUCCAGCUUCUCCUGCUUUCUGAGCAUCAUUUAUUUUAAUGUUCGGAGUGCUGGUAGCUGCUUACAGGAGCUUGUGCCUGCUGAUGGUUGGGAACGAGUUCAUGAACUUUUGAAAAUGGCAUCACCCCAUCCUUUCAUUAGGUCUCUAAAGAUGCUCAUUGAGGUUUGAAACAUUAGUAAAAGUUAAAUAGAGGUCAAGUCUUUUGCAAGGUGUCGUUUUCAUUGUCCAGAAAGAUUUGUUAUAAUUUCAGUUUCAGACAUCAGUUUGUCUUCUUGCUGAACUGAACCACAGUAAGAGAAGUUUUCACCAGAUUACUGCAUCCCACUGCAUCUUUCUUUCUUUUUUUUAAUGAGCUUGCUUCUCUGGCUCCCAAGGUGACACUCACUCUGAUUGAUCUCUGGAAACAUCCUUUGUGCAGCUGCCAAAACCCGAGCUGCUUUUACCCCUAAAAACAGACUAGAGGCUUCAAGAUGUCGCAGUAAUUUAAAGUCUUAAAAUCAGCCAUUUUACUGGUACUUACUGUAAAUUCAAGUGUUAAAAGUUAUCAGCAUUUGCAGAAACUUUGAUUUUAUCUGUAUUGUGCUGAAGAAAUAUGAAGUGAAGCUGAACUGUGGCCUGGCUGUACUUUCAUGUACGUACCAAAAGAGGGAGCAGCGAGUUAGUGUAACCUUGCAUUUAAUCAAUAAAAAGCACAUUCCUAUUUACAGUGGCAGCCAAGGAAAAGGCUGGUAAACUGCUGCCCCCUGGUGGUGAAAGUUUUAGUCGUAUUUCCCAGAACAAACACAAAAACCUUUAAACGACACACAUCCUUGAUCUCUUUUUUUGCUGUUAAGUGACAGCCAAAGAAACAAUAUCAGAGACAGCUGAUUGUUUUUAUUCAUAAUCAUCUUCUGUACAAACUUGUGAUGUUUAACAGUGUUUACCUGGUGAUAUGAAAUGUUCUUACUGCAGUCUAUAAGUGCUUUACAGUUCAGUGGUUCCACUUGUCUUGCUUCUGCCUACAGUGACUUUAAUACCUGUAACCUCCUGCUAGCUGGUCCUCGUUGUGCAGAACUAGUUAGUCCUCUAACACAUGCUCAUACAUCAGGCAGUUGGAAACGCCUUGUUUUGUUUAUUCACGUUUUCUGAAGAGGCUCUGGCGUGGACGAGUAUUUAAUCCUCAGGUUUCUGUGUCGGUGUGUCAAAAUCAGUCGCUUUGAUGUUUUUUAUAUCUCUCACAUUUUUAUCUGAUGUGACUGUAAAUGAGCAAACUGUGCAAUUUUUUUUGGCACUGUUGUUGUUGG